Molecule: ribosomal RNA, 753 nt
Filed under: Acinetobacter johnsonii
Lineage: Bacteria; Pseudomonadati; Pseudomonadota; Gammaproteobacteria; Moraxellales; Moraxellaceae
Description: bacterial SSU rRNA
Rfam family: Bacterial small subunit ribosomal RNA
Source: RNAcentral
AUUGAACGCUGGCGGCAGGCUUAACACAUGCAAGUCGAGCGGGGAAGGGUAGCUUGCUACCUGACCUAGCGGCGGACGGGUGAGUAAUGCUUAGGAAUCUGCCUAUUAGUGGGGGACAACAUUCCGAAAGGAAUGCUAAUACCGCAUACGCCCUACGGGGGAAAGCAGGGGAUCUUCGGACCUUGCGCUAAUAGAUGAGCCUAAGUCAGAUUAGCUAGUUGGUGGGGUAAAGGCCUACCAAGGCGACGAUCUGUAGCGGGUCUGAGAGGAUGAUCCGCCACACUGGGACUGAGACACGGCCCAGACUCCUACGGGAGGCAGCAGUGGGGAAUAUUGGACAAUGGGCGCAAGCCUGAUCCAGCCAUGCCGCGUGUGUGAAGAAGGCCUUUUGGUUGCAAAGCACUUUAAGCGAGGAGGAGGCUACUUGGAUUAAUACUCUAGGAUAGUGGACGUUACUCGCAGAAUAAGCACCGGCUAACUCUGUGCCAGCAGCCGCGGUAAUACAGAGGGUGCGAGCGUUAAUCGGAUUUACUGGGCGUAAAGCGUGCGUAGGCGGCUUUUUAAGUCGGAUGUGAAAUCCCUGAGCUUAACUUAGGAAUUGCAUUCGAUACUGGGAAGCUAGAGUACGGGAGAGGAUGGUAGAAUUCCAGGUGUAGCGGUGAAAUGCGUAGAGAUCUGGAGGAAUACCGAUGGCGAAGGCAGCCAUCUGGCCUAAUACUGACGCUGAGGUACGAAAGCAUGGGGAGCAAACAG